UACGUAGGGCGCGAGCGUUGUCCGGAAUUAUUGGGCGUAAAGGGCUCGUAGGCGGUUUGUCACGUCGGGAGUGAAAACUCAGGGCUUAACCCUGAGCCUGCUUCCGAUACGGGCAGACUAGAGGUAUGCAGGGGAGAAUGGAAUUCCUGGUGUAGCGGUGAAAUGCGCAGAUAUCAGGAGGAACACCAAUAGCGAAGGCAGCUCGCUGGGACGGUAUUGACGCUGAGGCGCGAAAGCGUGGGGAGCAAACAGG
Molecule: ribosomal RNA, 253 nt
Filed under: uncultured bacterium
Lineage: Bacteria
Description: partial 16S ribosomal RNA
Rfam family: Bacterial small subunit ribosomal RNA
Source: RNAcentral